Molecule: ribosomal RNA, 427 nt
Filed under: uncultured bacterium
Lineage: Bacteria
Also listed under: 1 other name
Description: bacterial SSU rRNA
Rfam family: Bacterial small subunit ribosomal RNA
Source: RNAcentral
UAGGGAAUCUUCCACAAUGGACGCAAGUCUGAUGGAGCAACGCCGCGUGAGUGAAGAAGGGUUUCGGCUCGUAAAGCUCUGUUGGUAGUGAAGAAAGAUAGAGGUAGUAACUGGCCUUUAUUUGACGGUAAUUACUUAGAAAGUCACGGCUAACUACGUGCCAGCAGCCGCGGUAAUACGUAGGUGGCAAGCGUUGUCCGGAUUUAUUGGGCGUAAAGCGAGUGCAGGCGGUUCAAUAAGUCUGAUGUGAAAGCCUUCGGCUCAACCGGAGAAUUGCAUCAGAAACUGUUGAACUUGAGUGCAGAAGAGGAGAGUGGAACUCCAUGUGUAGCGGUGGAAUGCGUAGAUAUAUGGAAGAACACCAGUGGCGAAGGCGGCUCUCUGGUCUGCAACUGACGCUGAGGCUCGAAAGCAUGGGUAGCGAACA